This 704-nucleotide small RNA is filed under the name Malus domestica (apple). Its description in RNAcentral is "sRNA MD05G0123900". Lineage: Eukaryota; Viridiplantae; Streptophyta; Magnoliopsida; Rosales; Rosaceae. The record is from RNAcentral.
AUGUCCACACAUGUCCACACAUCCAAUUCUAAAUCCUCCUUAAUUCUGAACCACUCUCUCUCUCGUUUGCUUUGCUGAAUCCUCCUUAAUUCUGAACCAGUCUCUCCCUCUUUCUCUCUAUUCACAAUUAAUCUCUCUGCAACUACUACUUCCUGGAUCUGAAAACUAGAGGUUGGUUAUGGAUAUUGGCCUCUUCUUCUUCGUAUUCUUCUUCAUCCGCUGCUGCUCUUGCUGAUGCUGAUGAUGCAAUAAAGUAAUUGUUUUGGAUAUUAUUUUGAAGCCGGAGAAAGCAAAUAAGCCCUCGUCAAAUUGGUUCUGAAAAAGCUUCAGUACAAAAGAUUGAAAGAGAGAGCAAAUGGAAAAAGAAAACAAGGCAGAGAACAGGAGAAAGAGGAAUCGAUCAGGUGACGAUGAUGAUACUGAUUGUGAGGGGAGCAAAGCAAGGAGAAAAGAGGUUAUGGACAUUGCUUCUUCUUCAUCAUCCGCUGCUGAUAACCCCCCACGUCGAGAAAAGUAUGAUGUGUUUAUCAGUUUCAGAGGUGAGGACACCCGCCUUGGUAUUACCAGCCAUCUUCAUGCUGCCUUACUUCAGAAGAAAUUUGAAACCUACAUCGAUAAUAGACUUCAGAGAUGAGAAGAAAUCGGAUAUGCCCUUCUAGAAGCAAUUGAGAAAUCCACCAUUUCGGUGAUCAUUUUCUCACAAA